GAUCCUGGCUCAGGAUGAACGCUGGCGGCGUGCUUAACACAUGCAAGUCGAACGGAGGACCCUUGACGGAGUUUUCGGACAACAGAUAGGAAUCCUUAGUGGCGGACGGGUGAGUAACGCGUGAGUAACCUGCCUUGGAGUGGGGAAUAACACAGUGAAAAUUGUGCUAAUACCGCAUAAUGCAGUUAUCCCGCAUGGGGUUGACUGCCAAAGAUUUAUCGCUCUGAGAUGGACUCGCGU
This 240-nucleotide ribosomal RNA is filed under the name uncultured bacterium. RNAcentral's name for it is "partial 16S ribosomal RNA". It matches the Rfam family "Bacterial small subunit ribosomal RNA", at positions 15 to 236 of the family's 1533-position model. The record is from RNAcentral.